RNAcentral lists this ribosomal RNA (254 nucleotides) under uncultured bacterium. RNAcentral describes it as "partial 16S ribosomal RNA". It matches the Rfam family "Bacterial small subunit ribosomal RNA", at positions 524 to 776 of the family's 1533-position model. The record is from RNAcentral.
UACGGAGGGUGCGAGCGUUGUCCGGAAUCACUGGGUUUAAAGGGUGCGUAGGCGGUCUGAUAAGUCAGUUGUGAAAUUCCUCGGCUUAACCGAGUGGACUGCGAUUGAUACUGUCAGACUUGAAUCAGGUUGAGGUAGGCGGAAUGUGACAUGUAGCGGUGAAAUGCUUAGAUAUGUCAUAGAACACCGAUUGCGAAGGCAGCUUGCUGGGCUUAGAUUGACGCUGAGGCACGAAAGCGUGGGGAGCAAACAGG